AUGUUUCCAAGUCACAUAACCAUUGUCCAAAAAUACUAACAGAAAAUAGAGAAUAUAUAUAAAAGUAGAAAAUAAGAGAAUCAAAUUGUGGCAUGUGAUAUGUUGAUGGAGUAUCAAAUUAAAAACAACAUCUAACUACUAAAAUGCAAUUUAAAAAAAAUUAUAUUUACGGUUUGCCGUAACCGCGAGUUGCCAAAAUCACAUACGGCAACCGCAACUGCAAUUGCCGCUCGAUUUCUAAAACCGCAAUUUUUGGUCAGUUUUUAGCUAUUGCGGUUCCAAUGCGGUAUAAUGUCGGUUGGUUUUUGCGGUUUUUCAGUUUUUCGGUCUAAAAUGCCACCCCUAGUUAUGAGGAUGUUUACAGAUAGAUAUGUUUCCAAGUCACAUAACCAUUGCCCAAAAAUACUAACAGAAAAUAGAGAAUAUAUAUAAAAGUAGAAAAUAAGAUAAUCAAAUUGUGGUAUGUGAUAUGUUGAUGGUGUAUCAAAUGUAAAGGAGGAG
Molecule: long non-coding RNA, 501 nt
Filed under: Prunus persica (peach)
Lineage: Eukaryota; Viridiplantae; Streptophyta; Magnoliopsida; Rosales; Rosaceae
Description: long non-coding RNA (PPER_LNC000084)
Source: RNAcentral